AGUUAUUAGAGAUGAGUUAAAAAAAUCUCUCACAAUUGGGGAAAAAAUAAACAGGGGGGAGGGGGUAAUAAUUCAGGGGGGCUAAUAAUUCUGACUUCAACUGUAUUAACAGUGCUAUUGGACACAAAUGAAGAAAGGUAUACUGUACAGUAAAAAAAUGCAUACAGCACAAAAACAGCAUUACAUAAUAUGGAUGUCAAUGUCUGCUGGUUUUCAACAUUCGUCAGAAUAUCUUCUUUUGUUUUCAACAAAAGAAAGACAUCCAUAUUUUAGAACCAGCUGAGUGUGAGGCAACGAUGAGGAAAGUUAAAUUUUUGGGUGAACCAUCCCUUUUUAAUACAAAAAAAAAAAAAAAAAAAAAAAAAACUCAUCUUUAUUUUUUUCUACUACUGUGUUUUUACUUAGGCCUAUUGAUCUGAUAACAACGUCUCCUUUUCUCUUCAUAUCUCUUUACUUCUUAUAUCUAAAAGUAAGGCAAAUCAAGAGCCAUAUAGUGGACUGCUAAUAGUAUUACUUCCGUUUUGCUAUUGAACCCCAUUUAUUGUCUCAGAGGUCUCACACCUCGUUUGUUAUUAUGUAGGCUUGCUGAAUUGUUUUUUUCGCGUUCACGCAACGACAAGCAGAGCAUGUAAAUCAGGGCGAGAUCCUCCGAUUAAACACGUUUCUGAUCAUUGUUAAGCGAUAGCAGCACAUCUGGAGUGAAGUGCAGGAAUCAGCGACUGUGUGUGUCAAACUUCAACCUCGCGAUUUAACACGAGCUGCUAAUGAGUCGUAGAGUGUUAUUGUGAAAUUGCAUUAAACGCCACGACAUGCAAGAGGAUAAUUGAGUAACACAGCGGCAAACUGCGGUUGUGCUCUGUUUUUUAACAAUAAACAAGGAAUGGAGCAAUAUAAACAGCAUUUGGAUUAAGUUAAUGGCAGUCACAGCGCUCUGGGGCUCUGGAGGUAUUUCAGAAAAAUCAGAGAAAUCAAUCCAACAUGAAACUGAAGGAAAACAUCUAAUGUCAUUGAGCAAUAACUCGCUCCUGCUCUCCUGUCAACGUGGAACCUUAGAGCGAGAGCCUAGGCUCGUGUGCUUCUCUUGGCUCAUUCUCUGCUCAAACCCAUAUGCCGUUCACCGUUCACCACAUCUGAACCGGAGCAGACCCACAAACCAACGAUCACCCCAGCUCCUCUCAUUUCACUGGGCUUCGCCGCGGCCCACCAGGCUCUUGGAAGAUUGAUGAUCCGUCGGUGCGAUGCCACUAUGCCAGAUUUGCUGAAGGUCUGGAUUCAUUGGUCUGGUAAAGGAAGGGCAGGAAUAGCUGGGAAAUUUGGCAUCACUUUGGGCUUUAUUCAGUAGUUGGGCCAGCAGUGCUGGAGAGACACUCAUGCAUGUCAGCCCAAACAACUGCUGCCAAACACAACCAGAUGAUGAUUUCAUUUUGGAGAACAAGAACACCUUUCGGGAAGGGUGUGUGAUAAUUAGAAUUAACUUGAAUUAAACUUAUAUUAAGCAUUCA
RNAcentral lists this long non-coding RNA (1502 nucleotides) under Danio rerio (zebrafish). RNAcentral's name for it is "lncRNA (ENSDARG00000117257.1)". Lineage: Eukaryota; Metazoa; Chordata; Actinopteri; Cypriniformes; Danionidae. The record is from RNAcentral.